Molecule: ribosomal RNA, 440 nt
Filed under: uncultured bacterium
Lineage: Bacteria
Description: partial 16S ribosomal RNA
Rfam family: Bacterial small subunit ribosomal RNA
Source: RNAcentral
CCUACGGGAGGCAGCAGUGGGGAAUAUUGCACAAUGGGGGAAACCCUGAUGCAGCAACGCCGCGGGAGUGAAGAAGUAUUUCGGUAUGUAAAGCUCUAUCAGCAGGGAAGAAGAUGAAGGUACCUGUGUAAGAAGCCCCGGCUAACUACGGGCCAGCAGCUGCGGUACUACGUAGGGGGCAGGCGUUAUACGGAUUUACUGGGUGGAAAGGGAGCGUAGACGGUGAGACAAGUCUGAAGUGAAAGCCCGGGGCUCAACCCCGGGACUGCUUUUGAAACUGCCUGACUGGAGUGCUGGAGAGGCAAGCGGAAUUCCUAGUGUAGCGGUGAAAUGCGUAGAUAUUAUGAAGAACACCAGUGGCGAAGGCAGCUUACUGGACAGUAACUGACGUUGAGGCUCGAAAGCGUGGGGAGCAAACAGGAUUAGAUACCCCAGUAGUC